Long non-coding RNA from Equus caballus (horse), 4427 nucleotides. NCBI's taxonomy places the organism in Eukaryota, Metazoa, Chordata, Mammalia, Perissodactyla, Equidae. The record is from Ensembl.
CGCCGAGAGCCACGAGGCCGCAGGCAGACGGGGCCAAGAGCCAGCCGGGCCUCCCCCUGCGCCGCAGCGGGAGACGGCUGACGCUCGCAAACAUCGUCGCGAGGCGAUAAAAUGCCAGUCCUGGCCUCUCGGUUGAGCAGACUAAGAGCAAUGAGUAUGAACGGGAGGGAGCUGGCAAGACAGGGCGUGGAGGGAAUCCACUGAGUGGAUUGCACUGAGCCCAAAAAUAUGCCCGAGAGGUAGGGCAGGAAGCGUGUCCUUUCUCGGGGAGGCGGCGCGGGAAUCCUGGCGUUCUCUCAUCCCCGGACUGGUUCCUGCUUGCAUCACCUGCCGAGAGGUCAAGGCCGCAGCGUGCGGCUGGAAAUCAGCGUGGCAGGAAAGCCCAUGAGCAGACAGAAAGCAGUGGCCUGGUGGAAUUAGUCACCUGCAGGAGAUGAGAACCACGGGGACACACAGCUUUGUGUCCCCAGCGCUAGCACGAGGCCUGCCCCCGUAAAGGAGUGCGUGCAUGCGCAAAAGCAGGGACUAAACCGAACCAGUACUUUAGGUCCCUCUCCACGGGGCUGAGACCACCCAUUUCACAGCUUGUUGCUUUCACAGCUUGUGCUGCUUAUGAGUAACAAGGAGAGACUGCCGAAGGUUCCGGGACAGUGGGGAGGGUAAUUUGUGGGCAGGUCCCAGGAGAGAAAGGCUGCAGGUGGGGGAGCCAGCUGCCCAGGAAGCAGAUGGGAGAGAAGGCGGAGGUGGGCACAGCUGACCCACCGGGGAAAGUACGGGCAGGAAAGGGGGUUGGUCAAGCACAGGAGGGAGGGGAACUGAGCACAUUUGAGGUGCCCACGUGGCGCUCAGGCCUGGGCCAAGAAGCCGGCGUGUGUCCUCAUUUAAUUCUCCCAAGAGCCUUGUGAAGUCAGAAUCAUCUCCAUUUUAUUGAGGAAAACACUGAGGCUCAGAGAAAAUAAGAAACAUAACCAAGGUCAAGAAGCGGUGAAGUGGAAGCGUUGGGAUUUGAACCCGGGUUUAGCCAAUUCCAAAGCCAACAUUCUUUCCAUCUCCCAGUGCUAUCUCCUGGGAAAAUUAGAGUGGAAGAUACAUAUUAUCCAUGAUGAUCCUUCUGCCUCCAUCCUGCUGCCUGCCACCCACAGCCACUCAGUCCCAAGUCCUGUCGACCUGCUUUCCUAGGUAGAUCUAUGAUCCACCUCUUUCCAUCCCUCACUCAGCCACUGCCCCAGCCCAGCCCCUGUCAUCUCUCACCUGGAGCACAGCAUCAGUCUCCCAGCAGACCUCACUCUGCUUCCAUCUCUCUGCCCACAUGUGGUCCACUUCCACAAAACAACUAGAGUGUUCUUUCUGGAACGCAAAUUGAAAUGUCACUGGCCUGCUCUAGGGUGAGGUCCAGAUUCCCCAGGACCUGGGCUUGCCUAUCAGCCUAGAAUCUCUCUCACUAGUCUCCUCUCUGUAGUGGAUUAGAUGAAGGCCCCCAAAAAGACAAGCCCAGGACCAGUCCCAUGGCCUAGUGGUUAAGUUUGGCACACACUGCUUCUGUGGCCUGGGUUUGGUUCCUGGGCGUGGACCUAUGCCACUCCUCUGUUGGUGGCCAUGCUAUGGUGGCAUCCCACAUACAAAAUAGAGGAAGAUUGGCACGGAUGUUACCUCAGGGACAAUCUUCCUCAGCAAAAAAAAAAAAAAAAAGAUAUAUCCACAAUAUCCACAUCCUAACGCCUGGGCCCUGUGAAUGUCACCUUAUUUCGAAAAAAGGUCUUUGCAGAUGUAAUUAAGUUAAGAGUCUUGAGAUGAGGAGAUCAUCCUGGAUUACCUGGGUGGGUCCUAAAUCCAAUGACAAGUGUCCUUAUAAGAAGUAAAAGAGAAGACACAGACAUAGAGUAGAAGGCCAGUGAAGGUGGAGGCAGGGACCAGAAUAUACAGCCACAAGGAAUGCCUGGAGCCUCCAGAAGCUGGAAUUCCAGACGUGAGGAAGGAUUCUCCCAUAGUGCCUCUGGAGAGAGUGCCACCUGCUGACACCUUGAUCUCAGACUUGCCACCUCCAGAGCCGUGAGGAAAGGAAUUUCCGUUGUUGCAGCCACCCAGUCUGUGGUGAUUUGUCACGGCAGCCCCAGGAAGCUAACACCCUCCCCCACAGGGCUCCAGCCAUGCCACCUGGCCUGAGAAAGAACUACCAGACUCCUCAAAGCUGCCUGGAUCUCUUUCUGGACCUUUGCACAUGCUGAUCCUUCUGCCCAAAACAUUCUUCCAUCCCCUUAUUGUGCAACUCACUCCUAUGGUCCCAUCACUCCUGCUGAAAAGUCUUCUCUGCCUCCUCAGCCAGGUGGGCCCCCCUUACCGUGGUUCCUACUUGCUGUAUACUUCUCUUUUCAUGACACUUACGAUAUUUUACUAUCAUUUUUUGUUUGUUUCAUUAACCAGUAAGUGGGUUCUGUGAUGGCGGGGACUGCUGUCCCCCUGGGGCCAAGUGCACAGUAGUCACUUAAUAAAUAUCUGCCCCGCACCUAGCACUUCUUCCUUACCCUCCCGCAUGCCCCGCUCAUGUGUCUCCUUAGGCAGGAGGCUGUGAGCAGAAACCGUCACUCUCCCUGGCUCCCUGGUAAGAUCUUCUUCCCCUGUCGUUAGGCUCCUCGAGACUUUCGACAGUUCUGCUUCCAGCUCGGGGGCUUGAGCUGAGGCUGCCCCCACAGCGGCUGUGACCCCCGGCCUGGCUCCCAGUGCCUGGCCCCUGGAUGGCACGUCGCCGCGGGCAGGGGAGAGUUCUUCCCUCGGGAUUGACACACAGGUGUCCCGAGGGUGCCAUCCUCCUCCUCCUGGAGUCACUAGCUGGGACGAGGCCAUCUUUGUCCCUGCCCAAUGCCCCCAGCAUGUGAGGAAAGCUUCUUCUCAGCUGUAAAUACAGAAGUAAACCCAAGAAGUGGGGUGGGGAGAGGAAAGAGAGGAUGAGAGAACUUAAUGUCAUCUUCCACCUCCUUGUGUCCAGUGGUCCCUGAGGCCGUUGCCACCCCCAGACGUCCCCAAUACGUAAAGUAAUAAAUUCCCUUCUUUUUGCAAUCUGGUCUGAGUCCAUUUUCUGUCACCUGUGCCUGAAAGCGGCCUGGCAGAUGCAUGGCUCCUGCAGCCUGACAGACGUCUGCCCGGUGCUCCUGGCCCUUCUCGGGGAGUGGCGGCACCCUCCGUUUGAGCGAGGAGCCGUCUGUCCGCCCAAGCUCACAGCCUUGAGGUGCGAAGGGGAUCUGAAGCCAGGUCUGCCGCCUUCACAGCACAAGCGCUGCUCCUAUCCUGGCUGCCCAGCUGCCUCUCAGGACUCAGGCGACACCAGGCGGCACCCGCUGUCUGUCCCCAGAGCUCCCCAAAGCCAGAGCACAAUAGUUCUAGCGAAAACAGCAGCAACAAAGUCCACGGUGCCUAAAUACUCACGUCUGCAUUCUGCAGGGUCUGCGACACCCUGAGUCAGUAAGCCUUACACUUCUCCUGGGCCCUGACGACUAACGCUGACCAGGAGCUUCCUCCAGACUCGGAUUAUUUUGCAUCUUUAGCAAUGGGACAGCAAGUUGCUAAGAAGUGAGGAGCCACACGUCCACCCAAACAGCCUGUGUCUGUUCUCUAAAGCAAGCUGAGUGUUUCUCUUCCCUCAGCCCCAGAGAGCCAGGUCCUCCUGGGGCUCAGUCUCUCCCCCAAUAGGCAAGGGCAGUUCCUGACUGUCACUCUGUGACACUGGAAGCACCUGGGAGGGUUCACACAGCUUUGUUAGCAGCCAACACCCUGGCUCUGAGGGCCUUGCUCACACUGAGCAACAGUGGCCCUCCCAGCACCUCCAGGCCCGGGGCUCACCGACUCCUGCGUCCCCAGGCAGAGCACGUGUUUCUUGUCGGCUUCGAAUGCAGAGCUCUCCACUGCCCAGAGCUGCCUUCCUGUGGUGCAAACAAGGAGAAAGUGAAAAGCGACAUCUCUGUUCGUUGUGCUCCGUUGUCUGAUGGCUCCCGCCUCACCCACAGGGCAUGUGGAUCGCUGUUAAAUAGCUGAAAGGGAAGACCAGCAACUUAGUUCCGUGGCCUCACCUGGAUGAGCCAGGCCUACCCCUCGUCCCCGGACACUGCACGUUCCAUGAGCCACGCCCGCAGCAGUCUCCGGUGCGCCUCUUCCUGUGGAAGCUGCCUGUCUGCAGAUUCAGCCUGUCCACGCGCGAGGCCCUGUCAUGUCCUGGAGGGCGGCAGGGAGCUGUCCAACCACGACGCUGCAGAGCAGCUGGACCCGCAGAACGCCGUCCCCACUGCUCGCUGCUGGUCAAAAUAAUGAACAGAGGGGAUGCUGUCCCCACCCACUUCCCAAAAGGAGGUGUGUAGUGUAAAAGACCAUGGAACUAGAUACGCUUUUCCCUGUUAUCUAUUUGGGAUCUCUCCAGUUUCUCCUACUAAAAAAUAAAA